UACUCAGUAUUUACUUUUGGCUUGGAUCAUUUAAAUUCAAUUGUGAAAAAUAUUUUUUGAACACUUAAUGGACUAGGGAAAAUUGCCACCACCCUUGAGGUUUCUUCCACUAAUGCUGUUGUUGGGCAAAGAGAGCAUUCCUUCCCCCUGUUCUGGUCUGAGGAGGGAUACUCAGGUCUCCUCCUUUGAAGAAUCCAGAGUACUGGGCAUAUGGGAAGUCCUCCUGACUUAGAUUUGCUUUUAGUAAUGUUUCACUUGGAGGUAGCAUGGAAGAGUUUUUAUGUGUGUUGAGCAGAUAGGCUGGUGGUUACACAUGCACCCAUACACUCCAUAGUAUUUGAAGGGAUCCCAGCACUGUAAUUAAUAGGCAGCCUGAGGUUUUGUUGAGAAGCUCUUUAGGAGCAAAACAGAUAGGCUACCAAUAGCAACUUCUGACCCACUUUGAAAAUCCCAUCCUUAUAAACCCCUAAUUUAGAUCUAAAUGGUAUGAGAGAUCAUGCAAUAAGUUAGGAUUAUAACAUCUAAUUGGGAGAUGGAACACUUAAGUUCUGUAACAAGCCUUAUAAAUGGUUUAAUUUGCAAGCUGCAGUUGGAGAAAUGGGAGGGCUAUUAUCUGUGCUGAUUUCAUAUAAACUUAGAUUUCCCACACAUAUCUUUAUGUAGCCUUGUUUUUAAUCAAUGGAGCUUUUCAAACUCAAUUAUGUAGACCGAUGAGGUUUAUCCUUUCUAAUUAAAACAAUUCAUGAGAUGCAGGUUUAGGGGUAAGGCUUAGGGUUUCUUUUCUGAAGAGAUGGUUUCUUGUGCGGUCUGAUCUGUUCCUCAUAUUUAUUUAUUUCUGUCAACUUUGUGCUAUUUUAAAUUUCCACUCAAGUUUAAGACUUAGAGAAGAGCGGUUUUACUGAAGAAAUGCAGAUUAUUUGAAUAUUUUUACAUGAUAAUUUUAUAUUCUUAGCUUGGCCACUUUAGGAGACCAUAGAGUUUAUAUCUAUUGUGCAGGGUUCUUCCCCCCGCCCCCCUCCUCCCACCCACUCCCUUUUCUUUUUUGAGAGCCUAGUCAACAGAUACUUUGAAUCUGUAGAGGAGAAAAUUGCAACUCUUGAAUCUGUCUGAAAUCACCUUUAGGACCAUGAACCUGGAAAAGUGAAAUGCUACAGAGGUAAACAGUGUAUGGAUUAUGGAUAGAGUGAAAUCAAGAAGCUGGUUAAAAAGGAUGAUACAUUUUUAAUUAGCCCACAGUGCUUUUCCUUCUAAAUUAAUUAGACACUGUUAUGUAAAUGUCAUGUUAAUUAAGCAAGAAAAUGGAAGCGUUAUAAAUCUGCUAAAGGAAUGGCUAUUUUUGUGUAUUAAUGUCUCACAGUUACUUCAAAUGGGCUGAGGGUAGAGUAUUUGAUUAUUGAGCUUCUGUCAGUUUUUAGCUGACUGAGGCUUUGAUAGUCCAUUUUUCCUAAUUGAUGUGUUUCAGCACAUGGUUUAACUAUGGCCAAUGAAGGAUAGUGGAACCAGGAGCCAGAAAUAACCAAUCAUCAAAGCUGUUUCAGUACAAACCUUUCAGAGUAGAUUAUUGAUCUCAUUCUCAAGGCAAAGGAGAAGCAUAGUUUUUCUGUAUUUACUCAGCCUUUGACUUUGAGAGCCUGAGUAUUGGUCGCCUAUGUGUAGCUAUCCUCCAAACAAAAUUCUGCCACUUCACUUUGAAAUAAUAAGUAAUGAUAUUUU
Molecule: long non-coding RNA, 1713 nt
Organism: Perognathus longimembris pacificus (Pacific pocket mouse)
Lineage: Eukaryota; Metazoa; Chordata; Mammalia; Rodentia; Heteromyidae
Exons: 2
Source: RefSeq, a predicted model, not a curated record